RNAcentral lists this ribosomal RNA (497 nucleotides) under uncultured bacterium. RNAcentral's name for it is "partial 16S ribosomal RNA". It matches the Rfam family "Bacterial small subunit ribosomal RNA", at positions 28 to 507 of the family's 1533-position model. The record is from RNAcentral.
GAUGAACGCUGGCGGCGUGCCUAAUACAUGCAAGUCGAGCGAACAGACGAGGAGCUUGCUCCUCUGACGUUAGCGGCGGACGGGUGAGUAACACGUGGAUAACCUACCUAUAAGACUGGGAUAACUUCGGGAAACCGGAGCUAAUACCGGAUAAUAUAUUGAACCGCAUGGUUCAAUAGUGAAAGACGGUUUUGCUGUCACUUGUAGAUGGAUCCGCGCCGCAUUAGCUAGUUGGUAAGGUAACGGCUUACCAAGGCGACGAUGCGUAGCCGACCUGAGAGGGUGAUCGGCCACACUGGAACUGAGACACGGUCCAGACUCCUACGGGAGGCAGCAGUAGGGAAUCUUCCGCAAAGGGCGAAAGCCUGACGGAGCAACGCCGCGUGAGUGAUGAAGGUCUUCGGAUCGUAAAACUCUGUUAUUAGGGAAGAACAAAUGUGUAAGUAACUAUGCACGUCUUGACGGUACCUAAUCAGAAAGCCACGGCUAACUACGUG